UGAGCAACCUGCCCUGGACUCUGGGAUAAGCGCUGGAAACGGCGUCUAAUACUGGAUAUGAGCUUCUACCGCAUGGUGGGGGUUGGAAAGAUUUUUCGGUCUGGGAUGGGCUCGCGGCCUAUCAGCUUGUUGGUGAGGUAAUGGCUCACCAAGGCGUCGACGGGUAGCCGGCCUGAGAGGGUGACCGGCCACACUGGGACUGAGACACGGCCCAGACUCCUACGGGAGGCAGCAGUGGGGAAUAUUGCACAAUGGGCGGAAGCCUGAUGCAGCAACGCCGCGUGAGGGAUGACGGCCUUCGGGUUGUAAACCUCUUUUAGCAGGGAAGAAGCGAAAGUGACGGUACCUGCAGAAAAAGCGCCGGCUAACUACGUGCCAGCAGCCGCGGUAAUACGUAGGGCGCAAGCGUUAUCCGGAAUUAUUGGGCGUAAAGAGCUCGUAGGCGGUUUGUCGCGUCUGCUGUGAAAUCCCGAGGCUCAACUUCGGGUCUGCAGUGGGUACGGGCAGACUAGAGUGCGGUAGGGGAGAUUGGAAUUCCUGGUGUAGCGGUGGAAUGCGCAGAUAUCAGGAGGAACACCGAUGGCGAA
RNAcentral lists this ribosomal RNA (587 nucleotides) under Microbacterium aurantiacum. RNAcentral describes it as "partial 16S ribosomal RNA". It matches the Rfam family "Bacterial small subunit ribosomal RNA", at positions 118 to 719 of the family's 1533-position model. Lineage: Bacteria; Bacillati; Actinomycetota; Actinomycetes; Micrococcales; Microbacteriaceae. The record is from RNAcentral.